AAAAAUACGGUACACCUUUCCUACCUAAAAGAGGACAGCUUGUUUUACAUCGAGUCUUCUUAAUGCCCAGCAAUGUGUCACAGGAACAAACAUUUAACAGAAUCUGUGAGAACUUCCAGAAAUCUAUUUAAUUACAGGCUUGCUCAAGAAUUUGAUCGUUGAGUAAAUUAAGGGUGUGUGAGAGAAGAAUGAAAUUUUUAAUUUACUUGUGCUGAUAGUCUCUUUGAAUAUAGUGUAUAAAUAGGUAAGCAAAAUGUGUGGAUUUUUAUUAGUAACUAAUGAGGUCUGUUAGAAUGAGCAGUGUGACCCCAAGUCUAGCCGAUUAAUGUCUAUUAUGUGCACAUGUCAGCAACUGAAAUUCUAUUUUGGGGUUUUACAGGUAAAUAGAAGAGGGCUCUGCACUGAGUAACUUAGGUUACAAUGCGGCCAUGAGGAAGGAUGGUGGUGGAGAGAAAGCUGCUUUACAGAUUUUCAGCUGAGGAAGCAGAGAGAGUCACACUGAUGCUGUGCGUGCACCACUCAGCAUGAGGCUGGUGACCUGAAGAAGCUGGCACCUUUCACUAUGGAGCUGUUCACAUGCCUGGCCCAGGACGAGAAGACGAAGGAGGCGGUCUGGCGGGAGCUGAAGGAACUGCAUGCCCUGCUGCUGCCCCAGGCCAGCAAGAUGACCCAGCGGAUCAGAAGUGUGUGUGACCAGUGCUGAACUUUGAAGCCUAAUGGCAGCUGUUUAACUUGGGAUUUCCAAAUCUCAUGCAAAUUUCUCUUGUGCACAAUCCUAGCUCAGAAUCCUGUGGGGAAAGGACUUUUGGGAGCACAGUUCCAGCUUAGCUAAAUUGACAUGAAGUAAAGCCACCACAUGUCGUGCCUGUAGGAUUUGGUUGGCACCAGCACAGAAAAGUGGAUUCCAGCGAACCUGGCAAGCAUUCACUGUUGCCUGGAAAGUUUAGAGAUGGGCUGGGGUGAGAGGGAGCAAAGACAAAACAUUUUGCAGAUGGAUAAAAAAUUUUGUAGAAGUGAAAAGAAUAUCUGCACUGAAGACAAAAGUCCAUCAAAGGGAUUACUGAACCAAAUAUUCCCAGGUCCUUUUUGAGAACU
Molecule: long non-coding RNA, 1095 nt
Organism: Phyllostomus discolor (pale spear-nosed bat)
Lineage: Eukaryota; Metazoa; Chordata; Mammalia; Chiroptera; Phyllostomidae
Exons: 3
Source: RefSeq, a predicted model, not a curated record